This 497-nucleotide ribosomal RNA is filed under the name uncultured bacterium. RNAcentral's name for it is "partial 16S ribosomal RNA". It matches the Rfam family "Bacterial small subunit ribosomal RNA", at positions 28 to 507 of the family's 1533-position model. The record is from RNAcentral.
GAUGAACGCUGGCGGCGUGCCUAAUACAUGCAAGUCGAGCGAACGGACGAGAAGCUUGCUUCUCUGAUGUUAGCGGCGGACGGGUGAGUAACACGUGGAUAACCUACCUAUAAGACUGGGAUAACUUCGGGAAACCGGAGCUAAUACCGGAUGAUAUUUUGAACCGCAUGGUUCAAAAGUGAAAGACGGUCUUGCUGUCUCUUAUAGAUGGAUGCGCGCUGCAUUAGAUAGUUGGUAAGGUAACAGCUUACCAAGGAAACGAUGCAUAGCCGACCUGAGAGGGGGGUCGGCGACACUGGAACUGAGACACGGUCCAGGCUCCUACGGGAGGCAGCAGUAGGGUAUCUUCCGCAAUGGGCGAAAGCCUGACGGAGCAACGCCGCGUGAGUGAUGAAGGUCUUCGGAUCGUAAAACUCUGUUAUUAGGGAAGAACAUAUGUGUAAGUAACUGUGCACAUCUUGACGGUACCUAAUCAGAAAGCCACGGCUAACUACGUG